Molecule: long non-coding RNA, 1262 nt
Organism: Ictalurus punctatus (channel catfish)
Lineage: Eukaryota; Metazoa; Chordata; Actinopteri; Siluriformes; Ictaluridae
Source: Ensembl
UGAGCGCUGAGCUGAAGCCGCUCCUCCUGUUUCCGUGCUGCGGCGCUGCCCGAGACUUUACCGCAGUGAGAUCCGUCAUCCGUCCAUAACACGAACGCUCCGAGGGGGGCUGACUCUCACACCGACAGGCUUUGGUUGUUGACCCUGCUGGGGAAAAAAAACAACAACAACAAAACACAAGCCGAAACGAAAAACAACCCGGAUUCGGGGAAAUAAUAACAAUAAUACUAAUUUUAAGGAAAAUAAAUAAAUAACCGAAGACCAACCGCGCGACAAAAUGGGAAAUGAAGCAAGUUACCCGUUGGAGAUGUGCUCGCACUGUGAGUAUUUAUUUAGGAAUUCACUCAUUCCUGGGAAAAUGUUCGCGCUCUUCUGAAAGAUCACAGUGAAGGAUCUUAUCUAGCUGCUGCUGCUGUUGUUGACGCUGUGGGAAUGUUGUGAAACGAACGAGCGAAGGCACGACGGUGACGAAUCGGCCGACGGUUAAAAGCCGUUACCGUAGAAACAGGCUAGCGCAUGACAUCUGGGAUAGGUGUAAGUUUUACGGCCGGUCCGGGUGAGAGUGGAGUUUUACGAGGAGUUGGUGCCGGGGUGUUAAAUCUGUGUGAGUGACUCGGCUUACGUCGGUGCAGGAUCGGGGAGGUGGUCUCGGGUCUAACGGGUCUCGGGUCAGCUGUGACGCAGCGCACAGCGGUGCUGUAGAUGUAGCUGUGUGUGUGUGAGAGAGAGAGAGAGAGAGAGAGAGAGAGAGCUGAUCCUGGAUCAGGGUGAUGAGCUGAGUGACGGAGGCGUGCUGCUGUAAAUGCCUCCUGACUGCUAAAGGUCAGACAUGAGGGGCAGCUUCGCUUAUUUUUAGUGUGUGUGGGUGUGUUUUAUUGGAUUGCCAUCAUGCGGGUGGUCCCCCUGACAGUGUAAAGUGUGUGUGGACAUGCACACACACACACACACACAUAUAUAUAUAUAUAUUUAUGUGUGUGUGUGUGUAGUUGAAUUGCACAGGUUAGAAAGGGGUCAGGCUCUUUCUCUUUGUCUUUCUCUCUGUCUUCCUCUUUCUCUGUUCUCUCUCUCUCUCUGUCUUCCUCUUUCUCUGUCUCUCUGUCUCUCUUUCUCUGUCUCUCCUCUGUCUUCCUCUUUCUCUGUCUUCCUCUUUCUCUGUCUCUCUCUCUGUCUUCCUCUUUCUCUGUCUCUCUCUCUCUCUGUCUCUCUCUCUCUCUGUCUUCCUCUUUCUCUGUCUCUCUCUCUCUGUCUCUGUCUCUCUCUCU